UCAUUAUUCCUUUUUUACAGAAGCAUUUUAUGAAGCAAAAAGGUUAUUUGGUAGACCCAACAGCAGAAUAGAACAAGAGCAUAACCAAGAUGUUAACAGCAAAGAUGAUCAAGAUAUGGAACUUGCUUACAGUCAGUCCAGUGUGACAGACACAUUUGAAGGAUUUUCUGAGCUAUCCUCACAAGCAACAACAAUGUCAAGCCAGGACUGGCUUGAAACACAAAUGACCACCAAAGACAGAUUUAAUGCAGCUAUGAAAAUGUUAUCACAUUCAUUUGAACCUCUUAAUUGCCAAUUGUCAAAACCAUGGAAUACACUUAGUAAAAGUUCAAGGUCAUAUUAUUUGAAAAAGACACAGGAGUCAAUUAGGUUGAUUUUUAAUGUUAUUG
This is a long non-coding RNA of Mytilus californianus (California mussel), 389 nucleotides long. RefSeq lists it as uncharacterized. Lineage: Eukaryota; Metazoa; Mollusca; Bivalvia; Mytilida; Mytilidae. The transcript is spliced from 3 exons. The record is from RefSeq and is a predicted model, not a curated record.